AGGUGGCUUCCACCUCCGAGUGGUAUGGUAAAGGUGAAUGUGGACGGAGCAGUGGCCAGGUCUCGGCGUGGAGGGGCUUCUGCAGCAAUAUGUCGAGAUCAGGACAGCCAAUAUUUGGGUUCAUCGGCGGUUGUUUUUCAUGGAAUCAAUGAUCCGAUGAUGCUCGAGACUUAUGCUUGCAAAAAAGCGCUGGCUUUGGCAGAAGACCUUGCGACAAUGAACAUAUGUGUGGCAUCGGAUUGCCAAGAAGUGGUCAAUGAUAUUAACAGAGGGACAGGAGGCCCAACGCUGCUCUUAUACAUGAAUAAUGCUUCGGUGUAA
Molecule: ribosomal RNA, 321 nt
Filed under: Triticum aestivum (bread wheat)
Lineage: Eukaryota; Viridiplantae; Streptophyta; Magnoliopsida; Poales; Poaceae
Description: partial small subunit ribosomal RNA
Source: RNAcentral